CAUUCCUGUCAUGGUGCUUGGUUCCAUUCAAAGCUCCAUGUCUGUCUAACUCAGGGCGCCAGGGGCAUCUGGCAGAGCCUGGGGACACUUUUGGCUGCACCAGCUUAGGAGAGCGUGCAACUGAGCACCCAGCCGCAGAGGCCAGGGCCGCUGAUCAGCAUGGAUACCACAUAGCACAGCCCUGCCGCUGUCACCAGCAGAGACCUACCUGCCAGGUGUCACCAGGGAGCUGUUGAGAUCGCCUGAUCUGGGACCUUCCUGAGCAGCACCACCCAGAACUUUCAACCUGCCGUUUGAAAUAGAAAAAUGAAGCUGUGUGAGCCAAGGCCUGCCGUUUAGUCGCAGAUGAGUUCUAGGAAAAUCCCUGGAAUGUGCAUUGCCACCCCUUCUCCAGUGCUGAUCAGCUCAGGGAGCCCUGCGGGUAAUGUGAAGCUCCUCUUCUCACUGCUGUCUCACAGCCUCCAGGCGUGAGGAUGAAGACUCCAACUCAGGCGAGUUGGGCCCCUCACUAAGACCCUCCUGGUCCCACCGUGCUUUAAUAAUAAGUCAUUUUCUUGAGCAUUCGGUCUUUCCUUCGUUUAUUCUAACUUUUCCGCCAUGGCAGAGCAUGGCUUACAGUCCAGGCUACUUAGGAGGCUGAGGUGAGAGAAUCACUUGAGUCCAAGAGUUUGAGACCAGCCUGGGCCACACAGUAAGACCUCCUCUCAAUGACAACUUUCCCAUCUGUUCAUUCCUACUUUAAUGGACGUUCAUAUCCAUUUAGUCUUCUGUGUGUCCCAUCUAUCCACCCUCCAGUCCUUUCAAUCCAUCCUCCCUUUCAUUCAUCUCUGCAGACUCCUAUAUACACACCCAGCCUUCACUCUUCCACUUAACCAUCAGUCCAUCUGCUUCCCAUCUGUCCUUUUAUCCUUCUGCUUCCUUAUUCUUUGACUCCCUUACCCUUUCUCUCUUUCAUACAUUCAUCCUUCCUUUUAUUCAAAAAGUGCUCAUCGGGCGCCUGUCUCGCAAGCACAAGGUCCCGAGUUCUAUCUCCAUUACCAAAAAAAAAAAAAAAA
RNAcentral lists this long non-coding RNA (1055 nucleotides) under Heterocephalus glaber (naked mole-rat). Its description in RNAcentral is "lncRNA (ENSHGLG00000032959.1)". Lineage: Eukaryota; Metazoa; Chordata; Mammalia; Rodentia; Bathyergidae. The record is from RNAcentral.